GGCGGACGGGUGAGUAAUGCCUAGGAAAUUGCCUUGAUGUGGGGGAUAACCAUUGGAAACGAUGGCUAAUACCGCAUAAUGCCUACGGGCCAAAGAGGGGGACCUUCGGGCCUCUCGCGUCAAGAUAUGCCUAGGUGGGAUUAGCUAGUUGGUGAGGUAAUGGCUCACCAAGGCGACGAUCCCUAGCUGGUCUGAGAGGAUGAUCAGCCACACUGGAACUGAGACACGGUCCAGACUCCUACGGGAGGCAGCAGUGGGGAAUAUUGCACAAUGGGCGAAAGCCUGAUGCAGCCAUGCCGCGUGUAUGAAGAAGGCCUUCGGGUUGUAAAGUACUUUCAGUUGUGAGGAAGGGGGUGUCGUUAAUAGCGGCAUCUCUUGACGUUAGCAACAGAAGAAGCACCGGCUAACUCCGUGCCAGCAGCCGCGGUAAUACGGAGGGUGCGAGCGUUAAUCGGAAUUACUGGGCGUAAAGCGCAUGCAGGUGGUUCAUUAAGUCAGAUGUGAAAGCCCGGGGCUCAACCUCGGAACUGCAUUUGAAACUGGUGAACUAGAGUACUGUAGAGGGGGGUAGAAUUUCAGGUGUAGCGGUGAAAUGCGUAGAGAUCUGAAGGAAUACCAGUGGCGAAGGCGGNCCCCUGNNCAGAUACUGACACUCANAUGCGAAAGCGUGGGGAGCAAACAGGA
This 684-nucleotide ribosomal RNA is filed under the name Vibrio sp. HR05-07. Its description in RNAcentral is "bacterial SSU rRNA". It matches the Rfam family "Bacterial small subunit ribosomal RNA", at positions 97 to 777 of the family's 1533-position model. The record is from RNAcentral. Lineage: Bacteria; Pseudomonadati; Pseudomonadota; Gammaproteobacteria; Vibrionales; Vibrionaceae.